RNAcentral lists this ribosomal RNA (535 nucleotides) under uncultured bacterium. Its description in RNAcentral is "partial 16S ribosomal RNA". It matches the Rfam family "Bacterial small subunit ribosomal RNA", at positions 355 to 880 of the family's 1533-position model. The record is from RNAcentral.
UGGGGAAUAUUGCACAAUGGGCGCAAGCCUGAUGCAGCCAUGCCGCGUGUGUGAAGAAGGCCUUCGGGUUGUAAAGCACUUUCAGCGAGGAGGAAGGUGGUGAACUUAAUACGUUCAUCAAUUGACGUUACUCGCAGAAGAAGCACCGGCUAACUCCGUGCCAGCAGCCGCGGUAAUACGGAGGGUGCAAGCGUUAAUCGGAAUUACUGGGCGUAAAGCGCACGCAGGCGGUUUGUUAAGUCAGAUGUGAAAUCCCCGGGCUCAACCUGGGAACUGCAUUUGAAACUGGCAAGCUAGAGUCUCGUAGAGGGGGGUAGAAUUCCAGGUGUAGCGGUGAAAUGCGUAGAGAUCUGGAGGAAUACCGGUGGCGAAGGCGGCCCCCUGGACGAAGACUGACGCUCAGGUGCGAAAGCGUGGGGAGCAAAACAGGAUUAGAUACCCUGGUAGUCCACGCUGUAAAACGAUGUCGAUUUGGAGGUUGUGCCCUUGAGGCGUGGCUUCCGGAGCUAACGCGUUAAAUCGACCGCCUGGGGAG